UUNCAGGUUUCAGGGUGUCACUGCCUUAU
Molecule: non-coding RNA, 29 nt
Filed under: Mus musculus (house mouse)
Lineage: Eukaryota; Metazoa; Chordata; Mammalia; Rodentia; Muridae
Source: RNAcentral